Molecule: non-coding RNA, 107 nt
Organism: Dipodomys ordii (Ord's kangaroo rat)
Lineage: Eukaryota; Metazoa; Chordata; Mammalia; Rodentia; Heteromyidae
Source: Rfam
GCUUACUUCACUUAAGCACAUAUACUAAAAUUGGAAUGAUGUAGAGAAGAUUAGUAUGGCCCCUGCACAUAUGACUUGUAGCAACAGAUUAGGAAUCAUAGAAGUAA